AUGCCGCUGCCACCUCUUUCCGGCGACCACCAUAGCCCUGCACCAAUUAUAAAUCAGUGGGUAUAAAGCUUAAUUUCUCUUUGUCAAAUCAGUUCUAUAUAAACGUAUAUAUACAUGUGGUGUUGUGUUUAUAUGGUUUAAUUUGAUUUAUAUAAUCGAUUUAUGUGUGCUUGUAUGUAUAUAAACUGAUUAUAUGCUGGUUAUUGAAAUUUGAAGGUUGAUUGAAUUUUUGAGAUUGAGAUUGGUGUUAGUAAUCGUAUGAUUGAAUUGUGUGCUUAAUUGAUAUUUGAAUUGGUUGUUGGAGGUUCAUUAUAAAUGGUGCGCCAACUAGUAGUGUAAUCGGAUGACUUGGGUACUUGAUUUAUGGGAAUAUAUAACUGAGUAUUAAAGCUUUAAGGUCUGAGAUUUUGUGUAAAUGUUUUCAGAAUGGUGUUUUAAGAGUUUAAGUAUUGAGCUAAAAAAAAUUUAGAUUUACACAUAAUCGGUUGAAUUGUAAGUUGCUGCUGAUCUGUUUUGCAGUAAAAUUCUGGGCUUCUAGAGUCGAAUUAUAUGCUUAAUAUUUUUGUGGUUAUGUGCUCCUCAGAGUCUAGUUUAUGUGCGCAAAAGAAUCGAAUCAAUUCGAUUAGCGAGCUAGGAGAUAUGACCGUUUUAGUAUAGUAUGGUGCUGAAAAUUCUGGGCAGGUUUGUCCUGUUCUAGGCUCUGUUUUACUGCUUUAAACUUGAAGUUUCUUUCUGAAAAUUUUACUGUAGGUUGGAAUAAUAUUCAGGAGUGUCUCAUAAAAAUUUUGUAUUUAAAAGAUAAAUUUUCAAUUUAUUAAAAAUCAUAGACCGAGGGCUGUUUGAACUAUUUGUUCUAGUUUUUCUUUCUUUGCUAGUGCAUAGUAUGAGGUUAUACUUGGCUAAUUGCAUAUGAUUGAUUAUUACAUUGAUUGGCUCGGUUAACCUUUAUAUCUAAUUAAACGUGCUUUGCGUAUAACAAAUUAGUAAUCCUGCUAAAAGAUUUUAUUAUAUGUUCACUACAAGUCAAGACAGAUUUUCUGUUCACUGCAAGCCAAGGGAUCUUUUUUUAUAUUAAUAAUUCAUGUGUUAGCAAUGGUAUUGGUUGGUUGUUGGUAUUGCAAACAGGUGGAUAGUCCGAUAAACAGAGGAGAUGAUGCCGAAUUUUCGUUAGGAAUUAUAUGUAUUUAAUGGCUAUAAAAAGGGGUUAUUUGUGCAAUUAUGUGUUAUGUGUUUAUCUGCCUAUGUGGUAUGUAUAUGCGAAGGGUAGAUAUAUAUAGGUCUUAAUACUUUUCAGAGUUAGUUAAUUUGUCUGAUCCGACGGUUAAAAUACUAUUUUACUAUCGUAUAGAAUUGAAGACAUUGACCGAGGCAUUGAUCGAGAAGUGAUUGAAAUGGGUAUCCAGAAUUAGCCAAGUAGUGUUGCAAGUUGAAGUAGGGCGGAGAUUUGUUAUAGAUAAAAGCUUGUCAGAAGCUGGCAGAAAGGAAUGAUAUGGCGGUAUAUAGUAUUAUUAGAAAUCUGACCUAGACACCAGAGUUAAGGCAAGUACUUCUACCUUUCUCUCGCAAUUUAGAAGCAAGUAUUUCUACCCUACUCCUCUAGUACCUAUAGAUACUAAAACCUUCUUUAUAUCAUGAUUCAAAUUAUUUGCAAUUACUUUCUUGUGAAGCAUAUCUAGUACUUUUAAACCUUUUGGUUGAACGGAUAACACUUUUGGUAUCGACUCUACACUAUGAUAUGCAUAAAGAAAUUGUUUUAACAAAAUGUUGUUCUGGCUCUUGAAUUACAUGAUAGAACUGCAGAUUGUUUUAAAAAUUAAACUGUUGGGUUGUUUUUGCGUAAGAGGCUCGGGCACCGGCCCAGCGUGAAAGGUGGCUCCUUAAGCCCGGAUUACCGGAAUUCGUAAUAUUUGUCAACCUUGCUGAAUAAGCUUGGUUUAUGGACUAUAGCAUGACUGAUCAUCUGUUAUAGCCAGGUGUCCAAUUAAUUUUAAAGCCCAAUAAAAUUGUGAAUAGUUUAAAAAGAAGUUACCCUGCCUUCAAGAGAUAUUUGCUUAUACAUUCAUUUCUGCAGUUUUAAAUAUUUUCACUUCUUUAUUAUGGCAUUGCUGUACAACAAAUAUCAAUUUCAUUUUGUUAUUCUUGCUGAGCAUUAUUGCUCAUUCUUGCUAUUCCUUCUAACCCUUUUCAGCUAGGAAUAAAGAUGAUUCACUUAAGACUAGGCAAGGAUUGCAAGUGGUUGAGUUUCAAGCAGAUGGACAGGUAGAGUAUUUAGGACGAUGUCAUUAAGACUAGAUGCAGUUGGAGUUCUGCAAUUCAAUUCAGUUGGAAAUUAGAUUUGUUUAUUUGGUUAUCAGCUACUCUUCUUAUCGAGGUUUAGCUGAUAAUGUUGUUUAAUUUGUAAAUAAGAUUUUAUAGUUUUAGUUUCUGAUUUCAAUGCUGUAGCCUGUAUGCGAUCCUGUUUUCAGGGGGUGAAAUUGAUUUUGAAUUAAAGACCUUCUUUUAAAAAAAUAAUAUCCAGGUUUAGAAAUACUUGUUUUUACUUUCUUCCAAAAAUACAGGUUUUAAAUUGUUUUUCUUUUAAUGGCUCAAAACUACAGGUUUUAAAUUAUUUUUAUUUACACGUGGCACCAGAUCUAGACCCCCGGAUUUGAGGGAUGUCACAGUUGGUAUCAGAGCUACAGGUUAUAAGUUAUUGAAAUCAGAAUGUAGGUUGUAACUUGUCUAAUAAGAUAGACACGUUAAGUGAAACCUCACAUAUAGGUAAGUUCAGAUUAGUGGUGUAACCUCAUAUAGAGGUAUCGUAAGACUAUUUGGGGAUAGUCCUUUUGAGCAUAAUAAAAUGAAGCUAAACGAUUAUGUUUAAGUGAUUAUGGUUAUAGACACAACAAUUCCUAAUUCUAGUUCUUCCAGUCCCUAGUGGCCUAGUUUAUUGACCAAUUCAGAUUUAUAUCAUUGUAAGAGGGUCAAAGUUAGACCUAUCAACAGAACCUUCAAGCUAGAACCAGUAGAGAUUCUCACACAGUCUAAUGUAUCCUUUAUAGUAUCUUCCAAGUGUUGAGUAUUAUUUGAAGAGUCACCUUUUGAUUCUUGUCAGAGAUAUCUAGAAUUGGUGAAAGAAUAGAGGUGUUAACAAGUCCGAGUUUACAGCUUUGUAUAUAGUUAAGUAGUGAGCGUUAGAGCUACGUAGAGUUUGUGUUAGAUUAUUCGAUCUAGUACUUAUGUGUGAGUUAAGAUGUCAACGCUCUAUGGUGAUGAUUGUAUAAAGUUGGAUAAGACUUUUGACCGACAACGAUAUCAAUGAUGGGAUCUUCAGAGGCUAUUACUAGUCAACGAUAAUAUAUGCAAGUGGUCACUAAAACGUCAAGAAAAAUCACUAGAAUCAGAACGAGUCAUCAAAAGAAUCGAUCAAAAAGACAUCUGUGAGAAUCCUGGCAAUACCUUCCUCAUUGUUGAUAUAUUGAUUUCUUUCCCCAUCAAUGAUUUGUUCUGACAUCACUUUAAAAAAAAAAAAUAUUUGAUAAAGAGUAUAUUUUUACCUUUCACUCGAGUUCUCGAAUGAUACUUGUGCUUACUGUCACACCUAUAGAAUCUAUUCAAUCUUGGUAAUUUCGAACCCUUUCAUAUUCUUUACUCUAACUGAGAUGAACAACCCUACCUAUAGGGGACACAAGGACUACCUGUCUGUGUGAUAGGAGUUGGAUGGGACGCCAUCACUUGUGUGUGUUGUACAUUACAAGAAGGUUAACUACCUUUAGUAGUGUCUUAAAUUAGACACGCAACACCGAGUUCUAUAGACCAUAUUGAUCUCUCAGUUAUUCAUUUAUUUCAAUCACGUAACACUUGCUCCAAUAUGUGAAAUCUGUCAUAUCUUUUACCUUCAAGAUUCUUCUAAUCUCUAAUAGUUGGAGGUAUGCCAACCGAGUUGCCAAUAUGAAUUAAGACUUUGUAGUAAGAAGCACCAGGGAUGAAAGCGAAUGACAAUGCUGGUUAUAUCAGAAAGGAAUAUUAUGGAUUAUAGAGAUCGUACACUCUAGUUUUCUUUUUGAUGAUUCCGAGGACGGAAUCUUUUUAAGGGGGGUAGAUUGUGACGACCCGGAUUUUCAGAAAUUAUUUUAUUAUUUUUAUUCAUGAUUAUUCGAGACAAAUGAGGAAUAAAUUUCAAUAUUUUAUUCUAGUUUGAUAAUUUUCAAAAAUAUUUGUUUAAAUUAUUUUCCUAGUCAUUGUGAUUAUGAGAAAAUAUCUGUUGAUUGUACAAUUAUAUGUUACGAGAUUUAAUUGAAUUAGUUGUCUACUAUUAUGUCUGUGUGUGCAUUUAUUUUUACUUUUAAUAUUACUGUAUUGUUUUAUUGAAAUUUAUUAUCCUCUUAAAUGGAUAUUUAUUUUUGUAAAAAUACAAAGAUAAUUUCAAAAAUUAUUUUAAUUGCUCGAUAGUGAUCAUAAAUAUGUUUAGAAGUUUUUAAAAUAUUAAAAAUCCAAUUUCUACAAGGACAUGAUUUUUAAUUAGUUUCUAAACGCAGCUAACUUCUUAAUUUUGUAUAAAUUUUGAAAAUGCUCUAUAAAUCUUGAAACUUUUAUUUUAUGAGUUUUAUAAUAUUCGGUAAUUUAUAAAAUUAGUUUGUUAAUUUUUCGAGAAAGUUUUAAUGCGAGUUAUCCCGUAAAUCAACUAAAUAGCGGGUGUUUGGAUGAUUAUUCAGCUUAAAAUAAAACGUGGCAGCCUUUGGCCAAACCACGUGCCCUGCUUUUCACCACCGCCAUCCCUUUUCUUCAUUUUAUAUACAUCAGCCUCUCAAUCUCUCUCUCUCUCUCUCUGUGAAAUCCUCCAUCUCUCCCUCUCCGCUCCUCUUUCUUUUCUCACCCAUCUUCCUCUCUUUCUUGGCAUCACCGUCCCUUCCCUGCAGCCGCCGAAUUAUGCCGUUAUGCCGCUGCCACCUCUUUCCAGCGACCACCAUAGCCCUGCACCAAUUAUAAAUCAGUGGGUGUAAAGCUUAAUUUCUCUUUGUCAAAUCAGUUCUAUAUAAACGUAUAUAUACAUGUGGUGUUGUGUUUAUAUGGAUUAAAUUGAUUUAUAUAAUCGAUUUAUGUGUGCUUGUAUGUAUAUAAACUGAUUAUAUGCUGGUUUUUGAAAUUUGAAGGUUGAUUGAAUUUUUGAGAUUGAGAUUGGUGUUAGUAAUCGUAUGAUUGAAUUGUGUGCUUAAUUGAUAUUUGAAUUGGUUGUUGUAAGUUGAUUAUAAAUAGUGCGCCAAUUAGUAGUGUAAUCGGAUGACUUGGGUACUUGAAUUAUGGGAAUAUAUAACUGAGUAUUCAAGCUUUAAGGUCUGAGAUUUUUGUAAAUGUUUUCAAAGUGGUGUUUUAAGAGUUUAAGUAUUGGGCUAAAAAAAAAUUUUGAUUUACACAUAUUCGGUUGAAUUCUAGAUUGCUGUUGAUCUGUUUUGAAUUACAACUCUGGGAUCAUAGAGUUGAAUUAUAUGCUUAAUAUUUGUGUGGUUAUGUGCUCCUUAGAGUCUAGUUUAUGUGCGCGAAAGAACCGAAUCGAUUCGAUUAGCGAGCUAGGAGAUAUGACCGUUUUAGUAUAGUAUGGUGCUGAAAAUUCUGGGCAGGUUUGUCCUGUUCCAGGCUCUGUUUUACAGCUUUAAACUUGGAUUUUCUUUCUGAAAAUUUUACUGUAGGUUGGAAUAAUAUUUAGGAGUGUCUCAUAAAAAUUUCGUAUUAAAAAGAUAAUUUUUCAAUUUAUUAAAAAUCAUAGACCGAGGGCUGUUUGAACUAUUUGUUCUAUUUUUCUUUCUUUGCUAGUGCAUAGUAUGAGGUUAUACUUGACUAAUUGCAUAUGAUUGAUUAUUACAUUGAUUGGCUCGGUUAACCUUGUAUAUCUAAUUAAAAGUGUUUUGCGUAUAACAAGUUAGCAAUCCUGCUAAAAGAUUUUAUUAUAUGUUUACUACAAGUCAAGACAGAUUUUCUUAUGUGUUUACUGCAAGUCAAGGGAUCUUUUUAUAUUAAUAAUUCAUGUGUUAGCAAUAGUAUUGGUUGGUUGUUGGCAUUGCAAACAGGUGGAUAAGCUUAUAAACAGAGGAGAUGCUGCCGAAUUUUCGUUAGAAAUUAUAUGGAUUUAAUGCCUAUAAAAAGGGUUGUUUGUACAACUAUGUGCUAUGUGUUUAUGUGACUGUGGUAUGUAUAUGCGAAGGGUAGAUAUAUAUAUAGGUCUUAAUGCAAUUCAGGGUUAGUCAAUAUGUCUAAUCCGACGACUGAAAUACUAUUUUAUCAUCGUAUAGAAUUGAAGACAUUGACCGAGGCAUUAAUCGAGAAGUGAUUGAAAGGGGUAUUCAGAAAUAGCCAAGCAGAAUGUUACAAGUUGAAGUAGGACGGAGAUUUGUUAUAGAUAAAAGUGUGUCAGAAGCUGGCAGAAAGGAAUGAUUAUGCGGUAUAUAGUGUUACUAGGAAUCUGAGCUAAACUUUGGAGUUAAGGCAAGUACUUCUACCUUCUCUCGCAAUUUAGAAGCAAGUAUUUCUACCCUACUCCUCUAGUACCUAUAGAUACUAAAACCUUCUUUAUAUCAUGAUUCAAAUUAUUUGCAAUUACUUUCUUGUGAAGCAUAUCUAGUACUUUUAAACUUUUUGGUUGAACGGAUAACACUUUUGGUAUCAACUCUACACUAUGAUAUGCAUAAAGAAAUUGUUUUAACAAAAUGUUAUUCUGGCUCUUGAAUUACAUGAUGGAACUGCAGAUUGUUUUAAAAAUUAAACUAUUGGGUUGUUUUUGCGUAAGAGGCUCGGGCACCGGCCCAGCGUGAAAGGUGGCUCCUUAAGCCCGGAUUACCGGAAUUCGUAAUAUUUGUCAACCUUGCUGAAUAAGCUUGGUUUAUGGACUAUAGCAUGACUGAUCAUCUGUUAUAGCCAGGUGUCCAAUUAUUUUUAAAGCCCAAUAAAAUUGUGAAUAGUUUAAAAAGAAGUUACCCUGCCUUCAAGAGAUAUUUGCUUAUACAUUCAUUUCUGCAGUUUUAAAUAUUUUCACUUCUUUAUUAUGGCAUUGCUGUACAACAAAUAUCAAUUUCAUUUUGUUAUUCUUGCUGAGCAUUAUUGCUCAUUCUUGCUAUUCCUUCUAACCCUUUUCAGCUAGGAAUAAAGAUGAUUCACUUAAGACUAGGCAAGGAUUGCAAGUGGUUGAGUUUCAAGCAGAUGGACAGGUAGAGUAUUUAGGACGAUGUCAUUAAGACUAGAUGCAGUUGGAGUUCUGCAAUUCAAUUCAGUUGGAAAUUAGAUUUGUUUAUUUGGUUAUCAGCUACUCUUCUUAUCGAG
RNAcentral lists this long non-coding RNA (7290 nucleotides) under Daucus carota (carrot). RNAcentral describes it as "long non-coding RNA (DCAR_LNC003535)". Lineage: Eukaryota; Viridiplantae; Streptophyta; Magnoliopsida; Apiales; Apiaceae. The record is from RNAcentral.